AAACCGUUAUGUAGACACAUUUUGACUAAUUUAUUGAAUCUCUUCCAUGCAUCACUUAAGGUUUCCUGCUCCCUUUGUUCAAAAUUGGUGAUGUCUCUUCGCCUCU
This is a small nucleolar RNA of Benincasa hispida (wax gourd), 106 nucleotides long. The record is from RefSeq and is a predicted model, not a curated record. Lineage: Eukaryota; Viridiplantae; Streptophyta; Magnoliopsida; Cucurbitales; Cucurbitaceae.